RNAcentral lists this ribosomal RNA (497 nucleotides) under uncultured bacterium. RNAcentral's name for it is "partial 16S ribosomal RNA". It matches the Rfam family "Bacterial small subunit ribosomal RNA", at positions 28 to 507 of the family's 1533-position model. The record is from RNAcentral.
GAUGAACGCUGGCGGCGUGCCUAAUACAUGCAAGUCGAGCGAACAGACGAGGAUCUUGCUCCUCUGACGUUAGCGGCGGACGGGUGAGUAACACGUGUAUAACCUACCUAUAAGACUGGGAUAACUUCGGGAAACCGGAUCUAACACCGGAUAAUAUAUUGAACCGCAUGGUUCAAUAGUGAAAGACGGUUUUGCUGUCACUUAUAGAUGGAUCCGCGCCGCAUUAGCUAGUUGGUAAGGUAACGGCUUACCAAGGCGACGAUGCGUAGCCGACCUGAGAGGGUGAUCGGCCACACUGGAACUGAGACACGGUCCAGACUCCUACGGGAGGCAGCAGUAGGGAAUAUUCCGCAAUGGGCGAAAGCCUGACGGAGCAACGCCGCGUGUGUGAUGAAGGUCUUCGGAUCGUAAAACUCUGUUAUUAGGGAAGAACAAAUGUGUAAGUAACUCUGCACGUCUUGACGGUACCAACUCAGAAAGCCACGGCUAACUACGUG